RNAcentral lists this ribosomal RNA (840 nucleotides) under uncultured bacterium. Its description in RNAcentral is "bacterial SSU rRNA". It matches the Rfam family "Bacterial small subunit ribosomal RNA", at positions 45 to 884 of the family's 1533-position model. The record is from RNAcentral.
GGCCUAAUACAUGCAAGUCGAGCGGCAAGUCGAGGAGUAAUCUGAGACCUAGAGCGGCGUACGGGUGCGUAACGCGUAUGCAACCUACCUCAUACAGGGGGAUAGCCCGGAGAAAUCUGGAUUAAUACCCCAUGGCACAGCACAAGGGCAUCUGCGAGCUGUUAAAGAUUCAUCGGUAUGAGAUGGGCAUGCGUCUGAUUAGCUAGUUGGCGGUGUAACGGACCACCAAGGCGACGAUCAGUAGGGGUUCUGAGAGGAAGGUCCCCCACACUGGCACUGAGAUACGGGCCAGACUCCUACGGGAGGCAGCAGUAGGGAAUAUUGGGCAAUGGACGAGAGUCUGACCCAGCCAUGCCGCGUGCAGGAAGACGGCGUUCUGCGUUGUAAACUGCUUUUAUCUGGGAAGAAAAAGUCCAUGCGUGGAAAAUUGCCGGUACCAGAUGAAUAAGCACCGGCUAACUCCGUGCCAGCAGCCGCGGUAAUACGGAGGGUGCAAGCGUUGUCCGGAUUUAUUGGGUUUAAAGGGUGCGUAGGCGGCUAUUUAAGUCAGCGGUGAAAGACAUCGGCUCAACCGAUGCAGUGCCAUUGAUACUGGAUAGCUUGAGUGUUGGAGGGGUACAUGGAAUUGAUGGUGUAGCGGUGAAAUGCAUAGAUACCAUCAGGAACACCGAUAGCGAAGGCAUUGUACUGGCCAACAACUGACGCUGAGGCACGAAAGCAUGGGUAGCGAACAGGAUUAGAUACCCUGGUAGUCCAUGCCGUAAACGAUGAUUACUCGCUGUUAUGCCGUAGGGUGUAGCGGCCAAGCGAAAGCGUUAAGUAAUCCACCUGGGGAGUACG